Long non-coding RNA from Paramacrobiotus metropolitanus, 2106 nucleotides. RefSeq lists it as uncharacterized. NCBI's taxonomy places the organism in Eukaryota, Metazoa, Tardigrada, Eutardigrada, Parachela, Macrobiotidae. The transcript is spliced from 3 exons. The record is from RefSeq and is a predicted model, not a curated record.
GGAUCUGCAGCACAGUUGCACUGGCUGCAGAAUCCUUCCUUGUUAGUCUGGUGUUGCUGCGCCACGGUGCGCAUUAGAUUCGGCAAUAAAGCCUCAUCCGGGUUCACCGCUGUCCGCUGUCGAGGAUACGCGUGGCGCCCAUACGGCCCCGCGUUAUAUGGUCGCAGAUCAUGGUUGCGAGCCAGGCCGUGCGCGCUGCCCGCGCGCACGGCUCCUCUGAUUAUUUGAGCCAAUUUAACCCCCACGUGUGGAGCUACAAAUGCCCCCCCCCAUUCCCGCGGGACGGACGCCUCCCCGCGACGGAUGCUUCCCAAACUGGACGGAGAUGCCGCGGAGCGAGAAACGCCUCCUGCGAUGCCGUGGAGCGAGAAUUGCCUCCUGCGAUGCCGACGGCGAACGCGACCCGGACCAGCGGGAAACCAGAACGGAUACACCGCCAACAGCAGCACCAACUCCGAUCCCAACGGCACGGAUCGACCACCAGCACCACGCCGAAGAAUUCCCCCACCAAAACACUGCCCGAACUUCCUGGGACGGCGACCUCCCCCCGGACGGAGCAGUGGAUUUCACCGCGGAUUUGCGUGUUUUAUUUUUUUUGCAGGGGUCACGGGCCACAUAGACCCCAAACCCCUGCCCAAAUUUCCCCAGAACGUGACCUUUCCCCUGCUGAAGAAACCACGGAAUUUACCCGUUUCCGGGUUGGACCCUGGAUCUGGCGCGACAGUGCGAGGAUACGCGGGGCGCCCAUACGGCCCCGCGUUAUAUGUGUGAAUAUGGCAAAAAUACACCGAUGAAGAUACGAUGAAAACACCUGUAUGCGCUAACCGGUGCCGUUGGGGCAGAUGUAGGAGAACAUGAAGUUGUUGGCCUCGCAGCGGCGGAAGACCUGGCAGCGCGUCUCGGGAUCGGCGUAGUAGCCGAACUGUCUGACCUGCGUGCAGCUGAAGGAGGUCUGCGGGAUGUAGCUGUAGGUGGUACGACUGGCCGGGGUAGGCGCCCGCCAGCACCUGCCGUUUCACCACCUGCAAUGCCACGUUCGCUUAAUUAUACCACUGCGCAGGAAACGCGGGAUGCCGUCCGUGGUGGCAGUGCGUUCACUGCGAAUUGCCGGUCAGGUCAGUCUGCGUGGACGUUGUUGUGUUGCGCCGGAGCGGGGGAAAUGCCGGUUGAUGGAGGGAAUGAGAAUGUGGAUUGGGGGCAGGCGUAAACAAUGCAGUAAAGUUGUACAAUAAUAAUCGAACGGGAUCAGCGGAUCCAGAAUUCCACGGAAGGGAAUUACAGGUGAAGCAUGAUAACGCUGCGGUGCGCUGCGGUGAAGUAUCUCAGCACUUCUGGUGGGAUAUAGAUGGACUUCGGUACUUCCGGUUGAGCCUGACAAAUAAUCUUCAAUAUGCCAGUUGGCCAGGGCGUGCAGUCCGCAUUAUCGCUGGGAACAUAUAUAUAACUCCGAUGGCACGUACAGGAUGCGCAUAAGGAUAUGCAGGAUCAAACAUUGAAUAUAACUGAUGUCGCUAGAUGGAGUGAUUGCUGAGGAUGGCCGCGUGUAAGAUGGAGUGGAGCGCAUAAGACUGAUGCUGGUCGAGGAUCGAGGAAGCGUUAAAUAUGCUUAAAUGCGCCGGCAUAAUACGCGCUAGUACUGAUGCCACAGCGGCUGUGUGUUAAAUUUUUGAUUCCUGAGUAGCGGCCAGAAUAAUUAAUUAAUGCCAUAUUAAAAUUAGAUAAUUAAUGCCGGGGAAAGCCGGUCGCACGGGAGGGCUAAACUGUGCAGACGGGACAUUCGCCGCAGCUGCGGUGUCUGCUGCGACUGCGACGUCGGCCUUCGCUUAUCGGCUAAACGACCGACAAGUCGUCAGGCAGUUCCACAAGACAAGUCGCAGCUAUUGGGCCUAUUGAGCGGAUAACUUUGCAAACUUAUUGCCAGUAUUUUGCAGAUUAAAUGUUGGUAAUUUAUUUGCUUAACUGUGUCAUUUAUUACGGAAUACUCUCAUGGUUGGCCGUCGGCGGUUGGAUCAGUUACGGUGGUUUACAAUGACCUUUCUCAUGAAAUGUGCAGCAACUAGUAAGCGAGCAUUUGCAGCCGUUAAGUCAAUGGUCCCCCACUUUAAU